UUGUUGGUAUCUCGCAACGAUAUUCGGCUUACUUAGUCAGGUUCGGAAGAAAGCAGCUUGGGUCGAAAUUCUCGUGUGCCGAGAAUAGCUGGCAAUGU
RNAcentral lists this signal recognition particle RNA (98 nucleotides) under Targowskia paracuniculus. RNAcentral describes it as "Haemophilus paracuniculus Bacterial small signal recognition particle RNA". It matches the Rfam family "Bacterial small signal recognition particle RNA". From Rfam's summary of the family: The signal recognition particle (SRP) is a universally conserved ribonucleoprotein involved in the co-translational targeting of proteins to membranes. Lineage: Bacteria; Pseudomonadati; Pseudomonadota; Gammaproteobacteria; Pasteurellales; Pasteurellaceae. The record is from Rfam by way of RNAcentral.